GGGCCCGCACAAGCGGCGGAGCAUGCGGAUUAAUUCGAUGCAACGCGAAGAACCUUACCAAGGCUUGACAUAUAGAGGAAAAGUGCAGAAAUGCACUCCCCGCAAGGUCUCUAUACAGGUGGUGCAUGGUUGUCGUCAGCUCGUGUCGUGAGAUGUUGGGUUAAGUCCCGCAACGAGCGCAACCCUCGUCCUAUGUUGCCAGCACGUAAUGGUGGGAACUCAUGGGAUACUGCCGGGGUCAACUCGGAGGAAGGUGGGGAUGACGUCAAAUCAUCAUGCCCCUUAUGUCUUGGGCUUCACGCAUGCUACAAUGGCCGGUACAGAGGGCCGCAAUACCGCAAGGUGGGCAGGCUGCA
This 356-nucleotide ribosomal RNA is filed under the name uncultured bacterium. Its description in RNAcentral is "bacterial SSU rRNA". It matches the Rfam family "Bacterial small subunit ribosomal RNA", at positions 917 to 1272 of the family's 1533-position model. The record is from RNAcentral.